AAACUGGGAUUAGAUACCCCACUAUGUCUAACUGUAAAAUAUUCACCCACACCAAAACCGCCCGGGAAUUACGAGCUAAAGCUUUAAACCCAAAGGACUUGACGGUAUCCCACCCACCUAGAGGAGCCUGUUCUAUAAUCGAUUUCCCCCGAUAGACCUCACCACUUCUAGCCCCCCGCCUGUAUACCUCCGUCGCAAGCUUACCAUGUGAACGAACUUAGUGAGCUCAAAGGCCACCCGCCCACACGUCAGGUCAAGGUGCAGCUAAUGAACUGGAAAGAAAUGGGCUACAAUCUCUAUCUUAGAACAAACGAAAGACUACAUGAAACACAGUCGCUGAAGGCGGAUUUAGUAGUAAAAAGAAAAUAGAGAGUUCUUUUUAAUUAGGCCCUGGGACGCGUACACACCGCCCGUCACCCUC
Molecule: ribosomal RNA, 421 nt
Filed under: Chiasmocleis sp. MHNC 5461
Lineage: Eukaryota; Metazoa; Chordata; Amphibia; Anura; Microhylidae
Description: partial small subunit ribosomal RNA
Rfam family: Bacterial small subunit ribosomal RNA
Source: RNAcentral